AGUGAACGCUGGCGGUAGGCCUAACACAUGCAAGUCGAACGGCAGCACAGUAAGAGCUUGCUCUUACGGGUGGCGAGUGGCGGACGGGUGAGGAAUACAUCGGAAUCUACUUUUUCGUGGGGGAUAACGUAGGGAAACUUACGCUAAUACCGCAUACGACCUACGGGUGAAAGCAGGGGAUCUUCGGACCUUGCGCGAUUGAAUGAGCCGAUGUCGGAUUAGCUAGUUGGCGGGGUAAAGGCCCACCAAGGCGACGAUCCGUAGCUGGUCUGAGAGGAUGAUCCGGCACACUGGAACCGAGACACGGUCCAGAAUUCUACGGGAGGCAGCAGUUGGGAAUAUUGGGAAAAGGGCGCAAGCCUGAUCCAGCCCUACCGCGUGGGUGAAGAAGGCCUUCGGGUUGUAAAGCCCUUUUGUUGGGAAAGAAAAGCAGCAGGUUAAUACCCCGCUGUUCUGACGGUGCCCAAAGAAUAAGCACCGGCUAACUUCGUG
RNAcentral lists this ribosomal RNA (492 nucleotides) under uncultured bacterium. Its description in RNAcentral is "partial 16S ribosomal RNA". It matches the Rfam family "Bacterial small subunit ribosomal RNA", at positions 29 to 507 of the family's 1533-position model. The record is from RNAcentral.